RNAcentral lists this ribosomal RNA (253 nucleotides) under uncultured bacterium. Its description in RNAcentral is "partial 16S ribosomal RNA". It matches the Rfam family "Bacterial small subunit ribosomal RNA", at positions 524 to 776 of the family's 1533-position model. The record is from RNAcentral.
UACGAAGGGUGCAAGCGUUAGUCGGAAUUACUGGGCGUAAAGCGUGCGUAGGCGGUUUCUUAAGUCCGUUGUGAAAGCCCUGGGCUCAACCUGGGAACUGCAGUGGAUACUGAGAGGCUAGAGUGUGUCAGAGGAUGGUGGAAUUCCCGGUGUAGCGGUGAAAUGCGUAGAGAUCGGGAGGAACAUCAGUGGCGAAGGCGGCGAUCUGGGAAGAUACUGACGCUGAGGUGCGAAAGCGUGGGGAGCAAACAGG